CUGAGACAGCUCUAAAACGUGUGAGUGUGCACUUUUGCCCAUUUGUACUCCCUUCACAAACAUCUACUAUACUGCACCAUAAUCUGUUUCUUGCUUUGUACUUAUAGAGUCAUAUAGUAAGGACAUCAUCUGCAUCGUAUGUAUAUAUAAUAUUAAGCGCUGAUUACCUCCUGUCUGUUAUCUUUACUAUCCACUUCACAAGGGUGGAGAGAACCCGGUGUUGGGGAUUUCCUGCUAAUUAUAGAUAUUGAGCACUUAUACUCACCAGUUUUUCCAUAUCAUGGGCUCCACUGCUCAGCCUGCGGCUACGCAGCCCCAUACCCAGCAAACUAAGAUGCACUGUGUGUUCUGACACCUUUCUAUCAUGGCAAGCAUUAUUUUCAGCAAUUUGAGCUUCAGUAGAGCUUCCGUGUGAUCUGACCAGACGGGCAAGUCUUCGCUCCCACAUACAUCAAUGAGCCCUGGCAUGAAUCUGACGCCAGUACACCGGUUCUUCUUCCUUGCACCACUUUUGGUA
Molecule: non-coding RNA, 517 nt
Organism: Pelobates cultripes (western spadefoot toad)
Lineage: Eukaryota; Metazoa; Chordata; Amphibia; Anura; Pelobatidae
Source: the annotation of a GenBank genome assembly